AUUGAACGCUGGCGGCAGGCUUAACACAUGCAAGUCGAACGAGUGGCGGACGGGUGAGUAAUGCUUGGGAAUCUCGCUUAUGGAGGGGGAUAACUAUGGGAAACUGUAGCUAAUACCGCGUACCCUAGGAUGAGCCCAAGUGGGAUUAGGUAGUUGGUGAGGUAACGACUCACCAAGCCGCCGAUCUCUAGCUGGUCUGAGAGGAUGACCAGCAACAGGGGAACUGAGACACGGCACAGACGCCUACGGGAGGCAGCAGUGGGGAAUAUUGCGCAAGGGGGGGAACCUGACGGAGCCAUGCCGCGUGAAUGAAGAAGGCCUUCGGGUGGUAAGGUACUUUCGGUAGGGAGGCGUUGACUACAGGAGAAGCAACGGCUAAGACCGGGCCAGCAGCCGCGGUAAUAC
Molecule: ribosomal RNA, 405 nt
Filed under: uncultured bacterium
Lineage: Bacteria
Description: partial 16S ribosomal RNA
Rfam family: Bacterial small subunit ribosomal RNA
Source: RNAcentral